RNAcentral lists this ribosomal RNA (350 nucleotides) under uncultured Planctomycetota bacterium. RNAcentral describes it as "bacterial SSU rRNA". It matches the Rfam family "Bacterial small subunit ribosomal RNA", at positions 46 to 382 of the family's 1533-position model. Lineage: Bacteria; Pseudomonadati; Planctomycetota. The record is from RNAcentral.
GGAUUAGGCAUGCAAGUCGAACGAGGAUAUAUCCUUCGGGAUAUAAGCCGAGUGGCGCAAGGGUGAGUAAUGCAUAGAUUACCUGCCUCCAGGAUAAGGACAACUUUGUGAAAACGGAGCUAAUACUUAAUAACACAGAAGAAAAUAAUUUUCUUUUGUCAAAGGGAGGGUAGUAAUACCUUUUGCCUGGAGAGGGGUUUAUGUCCUAUCAGCUUGUUGGUGGGGUAAUGGCCUACCAAGGCACAGACGGGUAGCCGGCCUUAGAGGGUGGUCGGCCACACUGGGACUGAGACACUGCCCAGACUUCUACGGAAGGCUGCAGUCGAGAAUCUUUCGCAAUGCCCGAAAGG